Molecule: transfer RNA, 70 nt
Filed under: Miltogramma oestracea
Lineage: Eukaryota; Metazoa; Arthropoda; Insecta; Diptera; Sarcophagidae
Description: tRNA-Asp
Source: RNAcentral
AAAAAAUUAGUUAAUUUAUAACAUUAGUUUGUCAAACUAAAAUUAUCAUCACAUAUAUUGAUAUUUUUUA